RNAcentral lists this non-coding RNA (29 nucleotides) under Rattus norvegicus (Norway rat). The record is from RNAcentral. Lineage: Eukaryota; Metazoa; Chordata; Mammalia; Rodentia; Muridae.
UGACAAUAGUUUAUAGUAUCAUGGGAAUC